Molecule: ribosomal RNA, 253 nt
Filed under: uncultured bacterium
Lineage: Bacteria
Description: partial 16S ribosomal RNA
Rfam family: Bacterial small subunit ribosomal RNA
Source: RNAcentral
UACGUAGGGUGCGAGCGUUAAUCGGAAUUACUGGGCGUAAAGCGUGCGCAGGCGGUUUUGUAAGUCAGAUGUGAAAUCCCCGGGCUUAACCUGGGAACUGCGUUUGAAACUACAAGGCUAGAGUGUGGCAGAGGGGGGUGGAAUUCCACGUGUAGCAGUGAAAUGCGUAGAGAUGUGGAGGAACACCGAUGGCGAAGGCAGCCCCCUGGGUUAACACUGACGCUCAUGCACGAAAGCGUGGGGAGCAAACAAG